UACGAAGGGGGCAAGCGUUUGUUCGGAAUUAUUGGGCGUAAAGGGUGCGUAGGCGGUUUGGUAAGUCUUAUGUGAAAUCUACAGGCUCAACUUGUAGUCUGCACGGGAAACUGCGGGGCUUGAGUGUGGGAGAGGGUCGUGGAAUUCCCAGUGUAGAGGUGAAAUUCGUAGAUAUUGGGAAGAACACCGGUGGCGAAGGCGGCGACCUGGGCCAAUAUUGACGCUGAGGUGCGAAAGCGUGGGGAGCAAACAGG
RNAcentral lists this ribosomal RNA (254 nucleotides) under uncultured bacterium. Its description in RNAcentral is "partial 16S ribosomal RNA". It matches the Rfam family "Bacterial small subunit ribosomal RNA", at positions 524 to 776 of the family's 1533-position model. The record is from RNAcentral.